Molecule: transfer RNA, 69 nt
Filed under: Ictidomys tridecemlineatus (thirteen-lined ground squirrel)
Lineage: Eukaryota; Metazoa; Chordata; Mammalia; Rodentia; Sciuridae
Description: Spermophilus tridecemlineatus (thirteen-lined ground squirrel) tRNA
Rfam family: tRNA
About the family: Transfer RNA (tRNA) molecules are approximately 80 nucleotides in length. Their secondary structure includes four short double-helical elements and three loops (D, anti-codon, and T loops).
Source: Rfam by way of RNAcentral
GGGGUUGUAGCUCAGUGGUAGAGUGCCCAUCUAGCAUGUGUGAGUCCCUGGGUUCGAUUCUCAGCACCA